This 78-nucleotide transfer RNA is filed under the name Hyphomicrobiales bacterium. Its description in RNAcentral is "Rhizobiales bacterium tRNA-Ile". It matches the Rfam family "tRNA", at positions 14 to 71 of the family's 71-position model. From Rfam's summary of the family: Transfer RNA (tRNA) molecules are approximately 80 nucleotides in length. Their secondary structure includes four short double-helical elements and three loops (D, anti-codon, and T loops). Lineage: Bacteria; Pseudomonadati; Pseudomonadota; Alphaproteobacteria; Hyphomicrobiales. The record is from RNAcentral.
AGCAUGGCAAUACAUUGGCAACAGGCCGUCAGGCUGAUAACCUGAAGGUCGUAGGUUCAAAUCCUACCCUCGCAACCA